UACGUAGGGUGCAAGCGUUGUCCGGAAUUAUUGGGCGUAAAGAGCUCGUAGGCGGUCUGUUGCGUCGGCUGUGAAAAACCCGGGGGCUCAACCCCCGGGCCUGCAGCCGAUACGGGCAGACUAGAGUUCGGCAGGGGGAGACUGGAAUUCCUGGUGUAGCGGUGAAAUGCGCAGAUAUCAGGAGGAACACCGGUGGCGAAGGCGGGUCUCUGGGCAGUAACUGACGCUGAGGAGCGAAAGCGUGGGGAGCGAACAGG
Molecule: ribosomal RNA, 257 nt
Filed under: uncultured bacterium
Lineage: Bacteria
Description: partial 16S ribosomal RNA
Rfam family: Bacterial small subunit ribosomal RNA
Source: RNAcentral